GGCAUGCGCAGCUACCAUGCAGUCGAGCGGUAACAGAUCCAGCUUGCUGGAUGCUGACGAGCGGCGGACGGGUGAGUAAUGCAUAGGAAUCUGCCCGAUAGUGGGGGAUAACCUGGGGAAACCCAGGCUAAUACCGCAUACGUCCUACGGGAGAAAGGGGGCUUCGGCUCCCGCUAUCGGAUGAGCCUAUGUCGGAUUAGCUAGUUGGUGAGGUAACGGCUCACCAAGGCCACGAUCCGUAGCUGGUCUGAGAGGAUGAUCAGCCACAUCGGGACUGAGACACGGCCCGAACUCCUACGGGAGGCAGCAGUGGGGAAUAUUGGACAAUGGGGGGAACCCUGAUCCAGCCAUGCCGCGUGUGUGAAGAAGGCCCUCGGGUUGUAAAGCACUUUCAGCGAGGAAGAACGCCUAGCGGUUAAUACCCGCUAGGAAAGACAUCACUCGCAGAAGAAGCACCGGCUAACUCCGUGCCAGCAGCCGCGGUAAUACGGAGGGUGCAAGCGUUAAUCGGAAUUACUGGGCGUAAAGCGCGCGUAGGUGGCUUGAUAAGCCGGUUGUGAAAGCCCCGGGCUCAACCUGGGAACGGCAUCCGGAACUGUCAAGCUAGAGUGCAGGAGAGGAAGGUAGAAUUCCCGGUGUAGCGGUGAAAUGCGUAGAGAUCGGGAGGAAUACCAGUGGCGAAGGCGGCCUUCUGGACUGACACUGACACUGAGGUGCGAAAGCGUGGGUAGCAAACAGGAUUAGAUACCCU
This 751-nucleotide ribosomal RNA is filed under the name Halomonas sp. RNAcentral describes it as "bacterial SSU rRNA". It matches the Rfam family "Bacterial small subunit ribosomal RNA", at positions 41 to 788 of the family's 1533-position model. Lineage: Bacteria; Pseudomonadati; Pseudomonadota; Gammaproteobacteria; Oceanospirillales; Halomonadaceae. The record is from RNAcentral.